Molecule: transfer RNA, 124 nt
Filed under: Endocarpon pusillum
Lineage: Eukaryota; Fungi; Ascomycota; Eurotiomycetes; Verrucariales; Verrucariaceae
Description: tRNA-Val (CAC) (tRNA-Val-CAC-1-1)
Rfam family: tRNA
About the family: Transfer RNA (tRNA) molecules are approximately 80 nucleotides in length. Their secondary structure includes four short double-helical elements and three loops (D, anti-codon, and T loops).
Source: RNAcentral
GGCCGAAUGGUGUAGUGGUUAUCACGUGUCCUUCACACGGACAAGGGUAUGGCAACAAACCAAGAGAAUUUAUAGAAUAUAACUAACAAAAUGCAAGUCCUGAGUUCGACCCUCAGUUUGGUCA